AAAAACAUCGCCUCCUGAAAAAAUAGGAGGUCCAGCCUGCCCAGUGACCAAGUUAAACGGCCGCGGUACCCUAACCGUGCGAAGGUAGCGCAAUCACUUGUUCUUUAAAUGAGGACUAGUAUGAACGGCAUCACGAGGGUCUCACUGUCUCCCCCCUCUAAUCAGUGAAACUGAUCUCCCCGUGAAGAAGCGGGGAUAAACCUAUAAGACGAGAAGACCCCAUGGAGCUUUAAACUCAAUUUCAACUACCAUCUAUAAACCACAAAAAACAGGUAGCCAUGACUAUUAGUUUUCGGUUGGGGUGACCACGGAGCAAAAUACAACCUCCAUGACGAAUGACUCUUUACCUCUAAUCAUAGAGUAACAACUCAAAGAAUCAAUAAAUUGACCCUCUUGACCCAAAUUUUUGAUCAACGAACCAAGUUACCCUGGGGAUAACAGCGCAAUCCAUUUCAAGAGCCCCUAUCGACAAAUGGGUUUACGACCUCGAUGUUGGAUCAGGGUAUCCUAGUGGUGCAGCCGCUACUAAAGGUUCGUUUGUUCAACGAUUAAAACCCUACGUGAUCUGAG
Molecule: ribosomal RNA, 570 nt
Filed under: Hamptophryne boliviana
Lineage: Eukaryota; Metazoa; Chordata; Amphibia; Anura; Microhylidae
Description: partial 16S ribosomal RNA
Rfam family: Bacterial large subunit ribosomal RNA
Source: RNAcentral